UCGAACUGUUACACAACGCCGUUACUCUACGCUGACGUCUGGAGCGAGCUGCACGUGCCACGGUAACUCCUCGUUCCGGAACAUCCCGUAGGAAGAUAACCAAACUUACGAAUCAUAUCAUAAUCGAUACGAGACACUCCUUCCGAGGGCCAGCUCAAUGGGUUAAGUAACAAAUGAUGUCCACUCAUUGGAAGACAAUGGAAGUCGAGUCGAGCAAGGAGUUUUUCCUCGGGAGCGCCCAAAAAAAAAAAAAAAGAAGAAAGCACACUCACACACACACCGACACAGACCCACCUACCCGGUGUCAUCCAUCAACGUCCUCUCCAGUGUCGGGGGCGGCAGCGAAAUGGGCGACAGCAGUUCGCAUGGAAAGACGCUGGAUACUCGGCCGACCGAAUGAAGGAUAUUUAUUAGCUCUCGACGCGAUGGCGGCACUACUAUUUGGAGG
Long non-coding RNA from Anopheles coustani, 448 nucleotides. RefSeq lists it as uncharacterized. The transcript has 3 exons. Lineage: Eukaryota; Metazoa; Arthropoda; Insecta; Diptera; Culicidae. The record is from RefSeq and is a predicted model, not a curated record.